AGAGUUUGAUCCUGGCUCAGAGUGAACGCUGGCGGCAGGCCUAACACAUGCAAGUCGAGCGGCAGCGCGGGGGCAACCCUGGCGGCGAGCGGCGGACGGGUGAGGAAUGCGUCGGAAUCUGCCUCUUUGUGGGGGAUAACGUAGGGAAACUUACGCUAAUACCGCAUACGACCUACGGGUGAAAGUGGGGGACCGCAAGGCCUCACACAGAGAGAUGAGCCGACGCCGGAUUAGCUAGUUGGCGGGGUAAAGGCCCACCAAGGCGACGAUCCGUAGCUGGUCUGAGAGGAUGAUCAGCCACACUGGAACUGAGACACGGUCCAGACUCCUACGGGAGGCAGCAGUGGGGAAUAUUGGACAAUGGGCGCAAGCCUGAUCCAGCCAUGCCGCGUGUGUGAAGAAGGCCUUCGGGUUGUAAAGCACUUUUGUCCGGAAAGAAAUCCUUUCAGUUAAUACCUGGGAGGGAUGACGGUACCGGAAGAAUAAGCACCGGCUAACUUCGUGCCAGCAGCCGCGGUAAUACGAAGGGUGCAAGCGUUACUCGGAAUUACUGGGCGUAAAGCGUGCGUAGGUGGUUCGUUAAGUCUGAUGUGAAAGCCCUGGGCUCAACCUGGGAAUGGCAUUGGAUACUGGCGACCUAGAGUGCGGUAGAGGGGUGUGGAAUUCCCGGUGUAGCAGUGAAAUGCGUAGAUAUCGGGAGGAACAUCUGUGGCGAAGGCGACACCCUGGACCAGCACUGACACUGAGGCACGAAAGCGUGGGGGAGCAAACAGGAUUAGAUACCCUGGUAGUCCACGCCC
Molecule: ribosomal RNA, 800 nt
Filed under: uncultured bacterium
Lineage: Bacteria
Description: bacterial SSU rRNA
Rfam family: Bacterial small subunit ribosomal RNA
Source: RNAcentral